Cavia porcellus (domestic guinea pig) is the source of this 5568-nucleotide long non-coding RNA. RefSeq lists it as uncharacterized. NCBI's taxonomy places the organism in Eukaryota, Metazoa, Chordata, Mammalia, Rodentia, Caviidae. The transcript has 3 exons. The record is from RefSeq and is a predicted model, not a curated record.
CUGUGUGGUAGGGUGUUUCCCUCUACCAAUAAGACUGGAUAAACAAUAGGAAUGUGUUAUGGUUGAUACAAUGUGUCCACUUGAGAAGUUUAACUAAGAUUCUGGGCAGGGAGCCAGGGUUCUUACUUUGUAAAUAUCCUCCUUCUGGGCAAGAGGAGGGCAACAAGAUUUUUUGAGUGCUACACCCACCCUGGAGGAGGAAUGGCCCUUCCUUGAUGUUGCACUGCUGCUUUUGCUGGCUGCUGCCCCUGUGCCAAGCCACCCUGCCUUGGAAGCUGCUGAUCAUGGACUGAAACCUCCACAAACACUUGGAUUUAUGCUGUCAGUGCUACACUUGCCUAGGGGUGGAGCCAGCACACAAUGUGACCGCAGGAAGAAGCUGUGUCUUUCUCUCUUGCUGGUUUCCUCCUUGCUGUUUGUAGCAGCCAUGAACUGCGGCCCCACCAUGCCUUGGAGCCAACUGAAUAUGGACUGAAACCUCCAAAAAAUAAAUUUUACCAUGCCUAGAAACAUUAAAGAAUUCUGAAUCCAGAAAUAUAAAAGGAAGGACAGCACACAUGUCCUCUAGAUCUCUAAAUAUUGUCUACAAAAUAUUGUCUACAAAACCAGAUGGAAGCAUCAAGCCCUCAGUUGAAGAGUUCAAGCAGAAGUGUAACUAAAAUGAUAUUAACACAUCACAUGCAACUUCUGUCACAUUUGGAUUUGGGUCAUUCCUCCAGGCUAACCAGAGAAGUUAUUUUCUAGGUCCCAAGCAAGAUCAGCAGUGGGACAGAAGAAGAUUAAAGCAUUCACAAAGCAGUUAAGAGCUGAAUCCUAAAACUAUCAACUAGCUGUAGUGUUAAGGAGAUGGUCAAUGAAUUUUCUUAGUUUCCACUGGACCUUAGUAAUUUCUUAAAUUAUAUUUGAAACAGAGAUUAGGUUAGAUGAGAUUCUGAUGUAUCAUUAGAGUGAGCAGGGGGUUAUACUUAAUUAAUAAAAUAUGUUAUAUUCUUAUCAUGAGAAUCCUAUUAUUAUCUUAUUUAGCUUAACCUCUCCGCAAAGGUACCAUUAUUCAUCUUUUGGCUUUUCUGAGAAUAGCAUAUUCUACUAUUGUGAUUUCACUUCCCUAUCUUCAUUCACAAAGGCAUACUAUUUUAUGUUGCUAGGCUUUUCAACUUACACUAAUCAUCUCUACUAAGUUAUUUUUCUACCUGCAAAGUAAAGGGAGAGACGUAUAAGAAAAAAGGAGCAGAUUUCAUUUUUAUACAUCUUAAUCCUGUCGAGUACUACUGUACACAAACCUCUUCUAUUAGCUCACAUUUAUGGUUUCACACUUCAGGGUUACCAAAAGGAAAACACCUAAAUUCUGCACAAUGAAAUAUGUCUCCUGAGUAAAACACUAGAUGUGUAACAAUCUGGCAGCUUGCUUUUGUCCCAGCCAUGAACUCCAGUUGUGAUUUGUGAGAUUCACAAUUUUCUGGAUAAUGGCCAGGCUGGGACAUUAGCUGAAAAAUGUGAAAUCACAGCAAGAGCUGGUCUUCACCAGUGACUUCCUGUAAGGCAAACAUCACAGCUUCUGGUUUAAUCCCAACACCACAGGCUUACAGGACAGUUCUGCCAAAAGGAGAGGCAAAGAGAGAUUCAUAGCAUCACACAGAGUCUCAAGAGAAUCACUUCCCGGCCAUAAUGCAUGCUAAAACAGUCCAGGAUACUUGGCAAGGGUUUGUAUGUGUCUGGGACAGAGUCUUUAAUUUUAGCAUGAUCUGCAUAAACUCCUGGCCAGCAAUAUGGGUGUGUUAUUAGAGAAAUCCAGUCCCCUUCCAAGUCCUAAUUUUUGUACAUUUCUAAUGUCUCCAAGCAUGUAUCAGCCACAAGAUGUUUUCUCUGCCACCUUUUACAGAGAAUCCCCUAGAAAAUACUGAAGGGAUUAGGAAAUAUAUUCUCAUGCAGAUAAGAUUUCCUCAUUUUUUUCCUGCAAGCUUUUUGAUGGAAGAUACAUGUGUGGUGCACUGGUAACUGGUGGCCAACUUAAAUACCAGCUGAACUGAAUUGUCAUGGAGCUGAGCUUGGAUGGCCUGCCUAAGGACAGCUGCCUGCAUAAAAGAAGACCUGGAGAGGAGGAGUAACAUUGUGGGUUCUCCUCAAUGCAGCUGUUUGGAGCCGUUGCUUCUCCUGGAGGAGGUCAUCAUGCUGGCUCCCCCUGAUACGAACUUGGCUGUUAUCUUCAGAAGAGCUUGGCACCCUGUCGCUGAGAAUGGCUGUGGUUCACUUUGGGGGAGCUCUGGUCCUCACAUUGAGCACUACUUCCUGGCUCUUGAGGGGAAGAAAUGUGUUUAAUUUCCAGAAGUUUGUCAUGUUUGUUUCCUGGUACAUACUCAGUUGUUCUCAUUGUUAGGGGAGCUCAAAACCUCAUUCUGUUGGGAGCUGUUGAAACUAGAAAUUGAACACACAUGCAGGGCUGCAGCAAGGUGGGGGCAUGUUCUGACCCAGAACGAAGAGACACCUCAAAGGGUAAGAUAAGGUCACAGCUGAGGACACCUGGCUCCAACCCCAAUCAACUAAGUAAAAACUAGCUGCAGGCAUUUGACUCCUGUAGUGAAAUGCAACAUGGAGAUCUUCUCCUAAAUAUUUCUCCUAAAUGAAACAUAAUCUGUUAUUGGGCAAUCUUUGAACCACUCCCAAGGUCUGUUCAGUUUCCUUUGUUUUCUACUCUUAACCCCUUCCUUGUUUGAAAAACUAAACAUGGCUGCCCAGAGACAUUUCUUGUGUUAGUCCCUAGAGCCUUGAAUUCCUCAAAGGGUUUUGGAGCCCUAAAAUCAUACCACUUAUGUCAUCUAUUUUAGCCUUCAUUGUACACUCAUUUAGGAGACUGGAGAUCUAAGCCAGGUCCCUGGUAACUGUCACUGAGGAUGGCUAUGGUACUUUUCAUGGGAGCCAUGGUCCUUAUUUUGAGCAUCACUUCAUGGCUCCGGUACAGAACCCACCCUCAGCCUGCUGGCACAGAUCCUCCACCUCACUAGCACAGACUUUCUAGAUUCUUCUGCUAAUUUUUGGGGCUCCCCAGUGAAGAUCUGUGGGACAGACUUGCAUGGGUCAUUGUUAUGGGCUCUGGGUUUUCAGCUGAAUUCAUAAAGGUUAUCGCCAUGGGAUCCAGGCCCUCAGCUGAUAUUUCUAGGUCUUUAGUGUGUGGACAGAUUUCCUGCACCUUCUCUGUAUGUGACUCCUUGGGUGACCAUUAUAAAUUGUAUUAUAAAUUAUGUGCCCUUGUAAUUGUUCUCCUUACAACCCUUAACUAUCGUAACAUCUAUUCACUGACAUCCUUGUAACUUAAGUCUUACUUUCCAUGCAGGAUUCUCUCUGCCAUAUGUAUUAUUCAUCACCUACGGUUUGUGGUAGGAUAAACUCUCCUUAGACAUAGAUACUGCUGACCUUUAAAUGGAGUAUGUGAGACAAAAUAUAGAUGUAGAGCUGACCAAAAGGGAGGCACAGAGAAGCCACGGCUCCAUUCCUCUCUCACCCUCUCCCCCAAUUUCCAGUUAAGUGGAAAAAGCAGUGGAGACAGUCGGAGCCCAUUCAUUGUCCAGAAGAGAGGUUUCCAUCACUCAGCAUGAUUUUCAAGUCCAAACGGCUUGCAUGAUGAAAGAUGUUACUAUUUCACAAACAGGAAGUGGCAGAACCAUAGCAGCCCAAGCUCUUGCUGUGUGGUAUAAACAACAGCAGCUCCUGGACCACAUGCAGACAGGCUGUUCCCCAGAGGAAAGGGGGCAGGGGACCACUACCCUUUAGCAGGUCUUUCCAGAAAUGCUUGCGUUAUGUCUCCUUGUAUUUCUGAGCUAUUCUCCGAAGAUUCUCCAUGGUCACCAACAGGAGAGAGAGCUGACCUAGUCCAGGGUUCCUUUCCAGCACUCUCACCAGUCCACUGAUGCAUCCUCCUUUUAGGAAGAGUUGUCUUAAUCUGCACAUUGAGUCCCCUCAGAAUUUCUGUUGAAUCGCAUCUUUCUGAUAUUCUAUACAGCAUAGGUUGUUCUAUAUAACAACGGUAUUGUUGUCAAUACUGUUUACCAUCUGUCUUUCUGCCUUGGAAUUCUCCCCCAAAGAGCAUUUCUGAAAUUGUCAAACAGACAGCAAAUACUCAAUGACUCCAUAAGAAACAGCUCGGAAAGUUGGAUAAAGCAAGCAAAUUGAAUUGUGAUUUGAGUGCAGUAUCUUCUUAUUCAAGGACAAAUUUGAUCAUUUUAAAAGAGAGUUCUAAUCUCCAUUAUCCAUUAAGCCCAUAAAAGACUUAAAUAUUAUUGUCUCGCUAUCAAAUGGCUUGUUACAGGAAAAGAAAUGACAUUUGGUUUUACUAUUCAAAUUCAAAUUACUAUUCAAGGAGUAGUUAAUUCCUUAUGAAGAAAGCUUUAAAAGAAAAAUGUAUAUGUAUUGCUAUGUAAGGCAAUGAUUACAGACUUUUAUGAUGUCCAUAAAUUUGAUCUGAGCUCUGCAGCAGCUAUAACCCUUCACCCCUGUGAGGUAUCUGGGAGGUUUUCACAGAGAGCCAACAGAACGGUUUGUCUUAGUGACUCCCUCUUACACACAACGUGGCUAAAGAUCCUACCUGAACCCUCACUUGCUGCUGAUGACGGACUUAAACAGUCAACCUGGAACACAAACCUAAGACCUACAAUUCUAAAUCAUAUGGCAUUUUGUGUGGCAUAAGUAGAUUAAUUUUAAAAGAACUGUUCUUGGGGAAAUUACAUGAGACCAGCUUUUCUCUCUCACUGUUCAUGUUGUUGUAUCAUGUUUAAGCUCAUGCAAUGUUUAUUGGAAUUAACUGUGCAGAACGGUGGUCAGGAUGUUUAUAUUUUCAUGAUAAAAGUACAAUGAUCUGAUAUAAUAAUUGUGUACUUGAUUCUAACUGCAAUAUAUUUUAUAGCCAGUUAUUGACUCUUGGAGACCACUAUGAAGCAGCUUUGAGCAGGAUUUAAAUGUUACUAAUUGGCUUUCUAUGUUUAUCUGUGAGUCUGUCCUAGGCCUCGGCCCCUCACCUGGAGAUGGGAACUGAUUCAUAGUAAGUGAACCUCUGUGAAUCACUGGUCCUGGCUGAGGCCUGUAGUGGCCUGUGAGGCCAGAGAUAACUCAAACAGCAAGAUAAGGACACAGCUGGGGACACUCUGGCUCCAACCCCAAUUAACAAGGCAGAGACUGCAGGUGCACAGAUUACUCCUGCAGUCUCACUUCUACCAUGUCUUCAUGAUAAGACAGUGCUACUGAAUUGACUUGAUUCAUAACUUGAGACUCCUUGAAGUGACUCCCAAGGUCCUGCUCAUUGCCUGCACUUUCCUCAGUUUCUCUGCCCUUUGUCCCUCUUCCUAAUAUAAGUGGACUGAUCCAGAGAAUCCUUUGUCUUUACCCUCGAAGCCUCAAGCUUAAUUAAAGGGUUUUGACCCUCCUGGAGCCCUAAAACCGUACUAUUUGUCUUUUUUUACUUAACCUCCACCAUACAUUCAUUUGGCAGAUUGGGGAUCUAGGACAGAACCCGAUAAUCGACUGCUCCACCCUCACCACCUGCUGGAGCUUUAUGAACUUGGGCUGACAUUACAUGUUUGG